Molecule: microRNA, 21 nt
Filed under: Macaca mulatta (Rhesus monkey)
Lineage: Eukaryota; Metazoa; Chordata; Mammalia; Primates; Cercopithecidae
Description: mml-miR-1243-3p
Source: miRBase by way of RNAcentral
AAACUGGAUCAAUUAUAGGAG